GGUCAAGCUACAAAGGGCGCAUGGUGAAUGCCUUGGCAUCAGGAGCCGAUGAAGGACGUGAUAAGCUGCGAUAAGCUUCGGGUAGGCGCACAUAGCCAGUGAUCCGAAGAUUUCCGAAUGAGGGAACUCACAUGGGAAACCCCAUGUAUCCUGUAGUGAAUAAAUAGCUGCAGGAAGGUAAACCUAGGGAACUGAAACAUCUAAGUACCUAGAGGAAGAGAAAGAAAAAUCGAUUUUCUUAGUAGCGGCGAGCGAAAGGGAAAGAGCCCAAACCAGAGAUUUAUCUCUGGGGUUGCGGACA
Molecule: ribosomal RNA, 301 nt
Filed under: Clostridium perfringens
Lineage: Bacteria; Bacillati; Bacillota; Clostridia; Eubacteriales; Clostridiaceae
Also listed under: 1 other name
Description: partial 23S ribosomal RNA
Rfam family: Bacterial large subunit ribosomal RNA
Source: RNAcentral